GGGGGUGAUAGGUCUCGACAGGGGUGAUCAGAGUAAAGGGAGCAUGCCGAGUCGCUCGACUCGUAAAAUCGGGCACUUUAAAAUAACUGCCGCUGAAUAUGCGGUUGCCUGAUAGUAAAUAGGCUUAACCUGGGGACUUGCCCCCAAGGUUCUCAGGGGAUGGGUUAGGGGGUGGUCGUCCAUACCUUUGAUCCCGAGGUGGACGACGACACCGAAGGGAUCUACCCCCUAUGGUUCGGGGCCCAGCGGACCAUAAGGGUAAAACAAGCUGGGUCUAAGCAUGUAGAGCCCUUUGCUCUGACACUUCUGGACGCGGGUUCGAGUCCCGCCACCUCCAUUA
RNAcentral lists this transfer-messenger RNA (340 nucleotides) under bacterium. RNAcentral describes it as "NMUJ01 sp002256535 Standard tmRNA". It matches the Rfam family "transfer-messenger RNA". Rfam says of the family: Bacterial tmRNA, also known as 10Sa RNA or SsrA, is named for its dual tRNA and mRNA-like properties. Its role is to liberate the mRNA from a stalled ribosome. RNAcentral also lists the same sequence under 1 other name. The record is from RNAcentral.